UGGUGGAGCGAUUUGUCUGGUCAAUUCCGAUAACGAACUUAAACUCUAGCCUACUAAAUAGUUCUGGGACCCCACAAAAGGUUCCCCGCUUCAACUUAUUAGAGGAACAGGUGGUGUUUAGCCGCACGAGAUUGAGCAAAAACA
RNAcentral lists this ribosomal RNA (144 nucleotides) under uncultured eukaryote. RNAcentral describes it as "partial 18S ribosomal RNA". It matches the Rfam family "Eukaryotic small subunit ribosomal RNA", at positions 1299 to 1458 of the family's 1831-position model. The record is from RNAcentral.